RNAcentral lists this ribosomal RNA (1422 nucleotides) under Raffaelea arxii. RNAcentral's name for it is "partial large subunit ribosomal RNA". It matches the Rfam family "Eukaryotic large subunit ribosomal RNA", at positions 23 to 1460 of the family's 3401-position model. The record is from RNAcentral. Lineage: Eukaryota; Fungi; Ascomycota; Sordariomycetes; Ophiostomatales; Ophiostomataceae.
ACCCGCUGAACUUAAGCAUAUCAAUAAGCGGAGGAAAAGAAACCAACAGGGAUUGCCUCAGUAACGGCGAGUGAAGCGGCAAAAGCUCAAAUUUGAAAUCUGGCCCCCCCCGCGGGGGUCCGAGUUGUAAUUUGCAGAGGAUGCUUUGGGCGCGGCGCCUUCCGAGUGCCUUGGAACAGGUCGCCUCAGAGGGUGAGAGCCCCGUACGGUUGGACGCCUAGCCCGUGUAAAGCUCCUUCAACGAGUCGAGUAGUUUGGGAAUGCUGCUCAAAAUGGGAGGUAAAUUCCUUCUAAAGCUAAAUACUGGCCAGAGACCGAUAGCGCACAAGUAGAGUGAUCGAAAGGUGAAAAGCACUUUGAAAAGAGAGUCAAAUAGCACGUGAAAUUGUUAAAAGGGAAGCGUCUGCGACCAGACGCGCCGCCCGCGGCUCACCCGGCGCCUCGGCGCCGGGGCACGCCGCGGGCGUCGGGCCAGCAUCGGCUCUGCCGUGGGUACAAGGACCGCGGGAACGUAGCUCCCUCGUGGAGUGUUAUAGCCCGCGGCACCAUGCCCGCGGCGGGGCCGAGGACCGCGCCCGCAAGGGCAAGGAUGCUGGCGUAAUGGCCGCCGGCGACCCGUCUUGAAACACGGACCAAGGAGUCAAGCAGUGGGGCGAGUGUACGGGUGCCAAACCCGCGCGCGAAAUGAAAGUAAACGCAGGUGGGAGCCUCCGGGCGCACCACCGACCGAUCCUGACGUUCUCUGAUGGAUUUGAGUAGGAGCCCUACUGCUUGGACCCGAAAGAUGGUGAACUAUGCCUGUAUAGGGUGAAGCCAGAGGAAACUCUGGUGGAGGCUCGCAGCGGUUCUGACGUGCAAAUCGAUCGUCAAAUAUGGGCAUGGGGGCGAAAGACUAAUCGAACCAUCUAGUAGCUGGUUACCGCCGAAGUUUCCCUCAGGAUAGCAGUGUUGUCUUCAGUUUUAUGAGGUAAAGCGAAUGAUUAGGGACUCGGGGGCGCCUAUUUGCCUUCAUCCAUUCUCAAACUUUAAAUAUGUAAGAAGCCCCUGUUACUUCGGUGAACGGGGGCCCUCGAAUGCAGCAACACUAGUGGGCCAUUUUUGGUAAGCAGAACUGGCGAUGCGGGAUGAACCGAACGCGGGGUUAAGGUGCCGGAGUGGACGCUCAUCAGACACCACAAAAGGCGUUAGUACAUCUGGACAGCAGGACGGUGGCCAUGGAAGUCGGAAUCCGCUAAGGACUGUGUAACAACUCACCUGCCGAAUGUACUAGCCCUGAAAAUGGAUGGCGCUCAAGCGUCCCACCCAUACCCCGCCCUCGGGGCAGAAACCAGGCCCCGAGGAGUAGGCGGCCGUGGGGGUCCGUGGCGAAGCCUAGGGCGCGAGCCCGGGUGGAACGGCCCCCAGUGCAGAUCUUGGUGGUAG